UCUUCGUGGAUCGCGUGGACACUCCUCCGGAAGAGUCCAUUCUUUGAAGUUGGAAGACAACGAUUGGUUAUAUUUUGUUAUGUUUUGUUUUGUUUUGUUUUGUUUGUUUAUUCUUUCAAGUACGUUUUAAAAG
RNAcentral lists this non-coding RNA (133 nucleotides) under Palpitomonas bilix. The record is from RNAcentral.